GGCGGAAUGCUUUACACAUGCAAGUCGAGCGGCAGCGCGGGGCAACCUGGCGGCGAGCGGCGAACGGGUGAGUAACAUAUCGGAACGUAUCCAUAAGUGGGGGACAACCUAGCGAAAGUUAGGCUAAUACCGCAUACGCUCGAGAGAGGAAAGUGGGGGAUCGCAAGACCUCACGCUUUAGGAGCGGCCGAUAUCAGAUUAGCUAGAUGGUGAGGUAAAGGCUUACCAUGGCGACGAUCUGUAGCUGGUCUGAGAGGAUGAUCAGCCACACUGGGACUGAGACACGGCCCAGACUCCUACGGGAGGCAGCAGUGGGGAAUUUUGGACAAUGGGGGCAACCCUGAUCCAGCCAUUCCGCGUGAGUGAAGAAGGCCUUCGGGUUGUAAAGCUCUUUUGUUCGGGACGAAACGGUUUUGGCGAAUACCCAAGACUACUGACGGUACCGGAAGAAUAAGCACCGGCUAACUACGUGCCAGCAGCCGCGGUAAUACGUAGGGUGCGAGCGUUAAUCCGAAUUACUGGGCGU
RNAcentral lists this ribosomal RNA (526 nucleotides) under uncultured beta proteobacterium. RNAcentral's name for it is "bacterial SSU rRNA". It matches the Rfam family "Bacterial small subunit ribosomal RNA", at positions 38 to 561 of the family's 1533-position model. The record is from RNAcentral. Lineage: Bacteria; Pseudomonadati; Pseudomonadota; Betaproteobacteria.